This 253-nucleotide ribosomal RNA is filed under the name uncultured bacterium. RNAcentral describes it as "partial 16S ribosomal RNA". It matches the Rfam family "Bacterial small subunit ribosomal RNA", at positions 524 to 776 of the family's 1533-position model. The record is from RNAcentral.
UACGUAGGGACCAAGCGUUGUUCGGAUUUACUGGGCGUAAAGGGCGCGUAGGCGGCGUGGUAAGUCAGCUGUGAAAUCUCCGAGCUUAACUCGGAACGGUCAGCUGAUACUGCUGUGCUAGAGUACAGAAGGGGCAAUCGGAAUUCUUGGUGUAGCGGUGAAAUGCGUAGAUAUCAAGAGGAACACCUGAGGCGAAGGCGGGUUGCUAGGCUGAUACUGACGCUGAUGCGCGAAAGCUAGGGUAGCAAACGGG